Xyrichtys novacula (pearly razorfish) is the source of this 2587-nucleotide non-coding RNA. The record is from the annotation of a GenBank genome assembly. Lineage: Eukaryota; Metazoa; Chordata; Actinopteri; Labriformes; Labridae.
AGAAAAAUGUCUAAAAUUGCACAAAGUUUGAAUGAAGAAGGAAAUUGCCUUAAAAGGCAGGAAGGUGAGAAGUGGCAUAAGUUUAAAAUGUAGUAUAAGAAGUCAAGUCGUGAUACUAGUAGUCAUGUCAGCAGUAGAAGUAGAUUGAGAAUAAAAGAAGUAUAAGUCAAAGUAGUAAAGAAAGUAGAAAUAGGAGCAAUAGCAGUUGAAGUAGAGGGGAAAGUUCUAGUUUAAUUGACAUUAGCAGUAGUUGUCGUACUUGAGGUAGGAUUUUGUUUGAAUGAUGGAGUAAUGCAUAAAUAUUAAAACUAAUUUAAAACAGGGAAAAUUUAAAUUAUCAAAAGUCCUCAAGUAUCAGAAAGUUUUGAAGUAUUAGAAAGGUUUGAAUCAGUUUGAAUGAGUUUAAAUUACUUUGAAAAAUUAAAUGAUAAAUCAUCACUGACUGAGUUUUAAAAUGUGAAAAAUUUAAAUGAAUAACAAUCCUAAAUACACCCAAUAAUGUCCUCAAUGAGCUUAAAUUUCAAAGCCCUGAAUGGUUUCUGUAGGUCAAAGGUCAUGUGAGGAGAUAGGGGCUGAAGUUUUUUCCAACGCUCUAGGAAAGGGUUUUAAGUGUCAUCCCAAUUGCUAUGUGUACUGAGCCUGGCUUCAUGUGUCUCAUAUGGCCACUAGAAGCAGCUUUCCAGUCAUCUGUGUGUCUCCAGGUGCACAAAUUGGUUGCCAUGGGGACCUUGGAUGCAUAACUAUAGCAGGAGAAAGAAGGCUUGAAGCUAAAGAAACAGGACUCCAAGUAGGCCCUGACGCUCACCCUCUGUAUAUAUUCAUAAGGAGCUUGUGAGAACACAAGAUUUUGCUGAACACAUUAAUACAAUUUAUUAUCACAAUCCUCAAAACACCCCAUAAUAUCUUCAAUGAGCUGAAUUUUUGAAGCCCAGAAUGGUUUCUGUAGCUCAAAGUUUGUGGGUGGAGAUAGGUGGUGAAGCAGACACAUAUUAUCUGUGUGUACAAGCAGGUGAACUGCAAGGUAGACCUGACAAUGCAACAAGUACAAGAAUGUGUGUGUGUGUGUGUGUGUGUGUGUGUGUGUGUGUCUCAUUAAUGACUGCAUCCCUAACAGCUGUGAGAUCAAAGGCAAAUCACUGACCUACUGUUUGAAUGACAAGCAGCUGAACAGCAGAGGAUUUGAAGCCUGUGAACUUCUUCACAUAGCGUGAUUUCCUUAAGUCCCAGAAUGAAAAUAAGAACAUCGUACGAAUCCUCCGUCCUUCAUGAACACAAUGAUGUGUUUUUCAUGUCUGUACUCCGAAAAAUGUGGCCACAACAGCGAGUUAAAAAAGUCUGAGCCUGAGUGACGAUAAGGAUUUUCUUGGAGAAGAAAUACAUUAGGGCCAAUGGGGAGAUAUUUGCGCCUAUCUGGACAGUUGGUCACCUGCUGGCCAAGGGGUACGAUUUAAUGAUUUGAAACCUCUUUUGUGAGAAGCAGGACACAUAUACCUCCAUUUUGAUGUAUUAUUUGUGUCAGUGGAGUGAGAUUUGUGGGCGUGGGAGCGAUAUAUUCGAGCGAGGUUCUGUCGAUCAGAGACGAGGUCUGCACUCUAGCUGAUGACAUCAUCACUCUAAACUCUCCAAUACACACCCAUUAUAAAGCUUGAAAUUUGCUGAAAACCACAAGUUGCUUAAAGCUAAAUUGUGGAAAAACUGUAAGAGAUAUCAAAAAACUGAGUACAACUAUAAUAGUCGACAAGUGAAUGAACAUUUUAAAGCAAAAAUGAGGUCUCUAGGUGAAAGUACGCUGAAGUUAUAAGGCUGAGAAGGUGGAGGAGUUAAAGGUAGAAUUUGAAGAUUUCCCCAUUCAUUUCAAUGGGAAAAUUUUUUGCACAAAAAGUCAAAAAUAUCAAAAAGUAUAAGGGGUAGAAAGAAAAAAAAUACACGCAAUAAUGUCCUGAAGGAGUGGAAUAGUUUAAAGUUUGAAUGGUUGAAAUCGGACAAAGUUUGAAGGAGGAGAAGCGGUCCAAAAAAGGGACGGAAGAAUAAUAAUAAGUUUAACUAGAAAAAUUGCAUUUCCUUGCAGAAAAUGCGUGGAAAUGCUGAGUGCUGAAAGCUGAAAAAGCAAUGCUAAACUGCUAAUAAAACAUGGAGAAAGGUAUAAAUAUUAAAGCUGUUGAAGGGGUGAGAAAGAAAUGUAAGUUGGAUAAUUGAUUAAUUGGUUGAAGGACAAAUAGUAUGAAUAUGCUCUAUAAAAGGAAAUUCUAUUCAUGCUGAAAGAGGCUAGAAAAAUGUCUAAAAUUGCACAAAGUUUGAAUGAAGAAGGAAAUUUCCUUAAAAGGCAGGAAGGUGAGAAGUGGCAUAAGUUUAAGUUGUAGUACUAGAAGUAGUAUAAGAGGUCAAGUCGUGAUACUAGUAGUCACGUCAGCAGUAGAAGUAGUUUGAGAGUAAAAGAAGUAUAAGUCAAAGUAGUAGAGAAAGUAGAAAUAGUAGCAAUAGCAGCAGUAGAGAAAGUAGAAAUAGGAGCAAUAGCAGUUGAAGUAGAGGGGAAAGUACUAGUUUAAUUGACAUUAGCAGUAGUUGUAAUACUUGAGGUAGGAUUUUG